Molecule: long non-coding RNA, 291 nt
Filed under: Elaeis guineensis (African oil palm)
Lineage: Eukaryota; Viridiplantae; Streptophyta; Magnoliopsida; Arecales; Arecaceae
Description: long non-coding RNA (EGUI_LNC032161)
Source: RNAcentral
UCAAGUAACAUUGUUGAGCAAAUGUCUUCGGACUAAAGAGUAUUGCUGACUUGAAAAGAUAUUCUGACCCGAGGUACUACAGUAGCCCUCCAAAUCCUCCUAAAGCCAAUGGCAUUUCGGAGCAUGAUCCGUCCCAACAGCAAGCAAUCAUCUGCAAAUAGAAGAUGCAACAUCGGCUAAACCCCCUGGGAAGAGACAUAAAAAUCGAAGCCCAUCCCGAGGGAGGUAGCACAAAGAGCUCAUGAAAGGGCAUCAGCACUUAUAAUAAAAAGAUAGAAAGAUAAGGGCCAA